Molecule: long non-coding RNA, 693 nt
Filed under: Triticum aestivum (bread wheat)
Lineage: Eukaryota; Viridiplantae; Streptophyta; Magnoliopsida; Poales; Poaceae
Description: long non-coding RNA (TAES_LNC008982)
Source: RNAcentral
CGGGAUGCCGGUCCACCGGCUCACCACCUCCGCGAUCUGCUCGGGGCCGACGGUCUCGGUGAGCAUCAGGUUCUCGCCGGUCUCGCCCUCCAGCUUGGCGAUGGCGGCGUCGAUCUCCUGGAGGGCGCCGUACUUGAGGUCGGCGACGCGUGCCAGGUCCAUGCGCCGCUCCGCCUCCUGCAGCGUGAACUGCAGCUCCUCGCGCCGCUGCUUCAGCUUCCGGAUCUCGUCGAUCCGCUCCUUCUCCUUGCGGUACUUCAUGGUCAGCGGCUGCAGCUUGUCCCUCAGGUCGUCCAGCUCCUUCCUCACCUCCACCAGCCGGGCCUUGCUGGCCUUGUCCUUCUCCUUCUCCAGCGCGUGGAGCUCCACCUCCAGCUGAAUCCGCUUCCUCUCCAGGUUGUCGAUCUCCUCCGGCUGGCUGUCCAGCUGCACCCUCACGUUCGCGCACGCCUCGUCCACCAGGUCGAUGGCCUUGUCCGGCAGGUGCCGGCCCAUGAUGUACCUCGCCGAGAGCUGCGCCGCGACGACGAUGGCGCGGUCCUGGAUGCGCACGCCGUGGUGCCCCUCGUACUUCUCCUUGAGCCCUCGCAGGAUGCUGAUGGUGUCGGCGACGCUCGGCUCGGCCACGUACACCUGCUGGAACCGCCGCUCGAACGCGGCGUCCUUCUCGACGUACUUGCGGUACUCCUCCAG